Long non-coding RNA from Ahaetulla prasina, 523 nucleotides. RefSeq lists it as uncharacterized. The transcript has 2 exons. Lineage: Eukaryota; Metazoa; Chordata; Lepidosauria; Squamata; Colubridae. The record is from RefSeq and is a predicted model, not a curated record.
AAAUUUGUUUUGCAAAACCGACUUCUCUUUCCCCCGCCCCCCUUGCAGACUUUCCCCGAAUGAAAUGGAGGUUAAAUGGAUCCCUCGUUGCUGCGAUCCUGAUCCCCCCCCUCCCCAAGGAGCAGCGCGAUGGUCCGGAUCUUUGCUUUCUCCCCUGCCUGGCCCGUACAUGCGGGGGGGUGGGGGUGGCGGCAGUGGAACAUGGGACCACGGGAUCUCCCUUUCCCAUAACUCCGAACCUGAUGAAGUUUUGCAGGUCGCCAUGCACGCCUCCAAUAACAACGUUUGGAUCUCCAUCCGUGUAAGAUUUCCCUGCAAACUCUUGGACUUUUGGAGAAACUCAGCCGAGGCUCACAGCGAAGGGAAGCCGGAUCGGAGACGUUGCCUUUUCAAAUUCAUGCCUCUGGGCAGCUAACAGCAGCUCAAAAGAGCAAGUGGUGGCAGCAAAAAUGAGAAGAAUCCAGAAGAAACCAUCUUGCUUGAAAAAGGGGCAUCAAAAGGAAAGUUCCAAAAUGGAGAGAAA